This 601-nucleotide ribosomal RNA is filed under the name uncultured bacterium. RNAcentral describes it as "bacterial SSU rRNA". It matches the Rfam family "Bacterial small subunit ribosomal RNA", at positions 731 to 1336 of the family's 1533-position model. The record is from RNAcentral.
GGAGCGCAACUGACGCUCAUGCUCGAAAGUGCGGGUAUCGAACAGGAUUAGAUACCCUGGUAGUCCGCACGGUAAACGAUGGAUGCCCGCUAUUUGUCCAUUAGGAUAAGUGGCCAAGUGAAAACGUUAAGCAUCCCACCUGGGGAGUACGCCGGCAACGGUGAAACUCAAAGGAAUUGACGGGGGCCCGCACAAGCGGAGGAACAUGUGGUUUAAUUCGAUGAUACGCGAGGAACCUUACCCGGGCUUGAAUUGUGAGAGAAGGAUCCAGAGAUGGUGACGCCCUUCGGGGCUCUCAUGAAGGUGCUGCAUGGUUGUCGUCAGCUCGUGCCGUGAGGUGUCGGCUUAAGUGCCAUAACGAGCGCAACCCCUCUCUUCAGUUGCCAUCAGGCUAUGCUGGGCACUCUGGAGACACUGCCACCGUAAGGUGUGAGGAAGGUGGGGAUGACGUCAAAUCAGCACGGCCCUUACGUCCGGGGCUACACACGUGUUACAAUGGGUGGUACAGAGAGUUGGGUGCCCGCAAGGUCACUCUAAUCAAUAAAUCCAUCCUCAGUUCGGACUGGGGUCUGCAACCCGACCCCACGAAGCUGGAUUCGCU